Molecule: microRNA precursor, 145 nt
Filed under: Myotis lucifugus (little brown bat)
Lineage: Eukaryota; Metazoa; Chordata; Mammalia; Chiroptera; Vespertilionidae
Description: miRNA (ENSMLUG00000022489.1)
Rfam family: mir-1302 microRNA precursor family (bases 50-101)
Source: RNAcentral
AAUACAGAACACUCAUUAAAUUUGAAUUUCAGGUAAAUAGCAAAUAAUUAUUUUAGUAUGAGUAUGCUCCAUGCAAUAUUUGGGACAUACUUGUGCUAAAAAUUUAUUUGUUGUUUAUCUGAAAAUAAAUUUAACUGGGUGUCCU